RNAcentral lists this transfer RNA (78 nucleotides) under mine drainage metagenome. RNAcentral's name for it is "tRNA-Arg". It matches the Rfam family "tRNA". Rfam says of the family: Transfer RNA (tRNA) molecules are approximately 80 nucleotides in length. The record is from RNAcentral.
GUCGCCGUAGCUCAGUUGGAUCAGAGCGCGGGCCUCCGAAGCCCGAGGCCGCCCGUUCGAGUCGGGCCGGCGACACCA